GGCGUGCUUAACACUUGCAAGUCGAACGGUGAAGCUCAGCUGCUGGGUGGAUCAGUGGCGAACGGGUGAGUAACACGUGAGCAUCUGCCCCUGACUCUGGGAUAGCGCUGGAAACGGCGUCUAAUACCGGAUACGAACCGUGGAGGCAUCUUCAACGGUGGAAAGAUUUUUUGGUCAGGGAUGAGCUCGCGGCCUAUCAGCUUGUUGGUGAGGUAAUGGCUCACCAAGGCGUCGACGGGUAGCCGGCCUGAGAGGGUGACCGGCCACACUGGGACUGAGACACGGCCCAGACUCCUACGGGAGGCAGCAGUGGGGAAUAUUGCACAAUGGGCGAAAGCCUGAUGCAGCAACGCCGCGUGAGGGAUGACGGCCUUCGGGUUGUAAACCUCUUUUAGCAGGGAAGAAGCGAAAGUGACGGUACCUGCAGAAAAAGCGCCGGCUAACUACGUGCCAGCAGCCGCGGUAAUACGUAGGGCGCAAGCGUUAUCCGGAAUUAUUGGGCGUAAAGAGCUCGUAGGCGGUUUGUCGCGUCUGCUGUGAAAUCCCGAGGCUCAACUUCGGGUCUGCAGUGGGUACGGGCAGACUAGAGUGCGGUAGGGGAGAUUGGAAUUCCUGGUGUAGCGGUGGAAUGCGCAGAUAUCAGGAGGAACACCGAUGGCGAAGGCAGAUCUCUGGGCCGUAACUGACGCUGAGGAGCGAAAGGGUGGGGAGCAAACAGGCUUAGAUACCCUGGUAGUCCACCCCGUAAACGUUGGGAACUAGUUGUGGGGUCCAUUCCACGGAUUCCGUGACGCAGCUAACGCAUUAAGUUCCCCGCCUGGGGAGUACGGCCGCAAGGCUAAAACUCAAAGGAAUUGACGGGGACCCGCACAAGCGGCGGAGCAUGCGGAUUAAUUCGAUGCAACGCGAAGAACCUUACCAAGGCUUGACAUAUACGAGAACGCUGCAGAAAUGUAGAACUCUUUGGACACUCGUAA
RNAcentral lists this ribosomal RNA (977 nucleotides) under Microbacterium laevaniformans. Its description in RNAcentral is "bacterial SSU rRNA". It matches the Rfam family "Bacterial small subunit ribosomal RNA", at positions 41 to 1033 of the family's 1533-position model. The record is from RNAcentral. Lineage: Bacteria; Bacillati; Actinomycetota; Actinomycetes; Micrococcales; Microbacteriaceae.